This 380-nucleotide ribosomal RNA is filed under the name uncultured bacterium. RNAcentral's name for it is "bacterial SSU rRNA". It matches the Rfam family "Bacterial small subunit ribosomal RNA", at positions 30 to 414 of the family's 1533-position model. The record is from RNAcentral.
AUUGAACGCUGGCGGCAUGCUUUACACAUGCAAGUCGAACGGGGUGAAGGGGCAACUCUUCAUUCAGUGGCGAACGGGUGAGUAAUACAUCGGAACGUACCCCGUAGUGGGGGAUAACUCGGCGAAAGCCGUGCUAAUACCGCAUAUGCUCUACGGAGGAAAGCAGGGGACCGCAAGGCCUUGUGCUAUGGGAGCGGCCGAUGUCCGAUUAGCUUGUUGGUGAGGUAAGGCUCACCAAGGCGACGAUCGGUAGCUGGUCUGAGAGGAUGAUCAGCCACACUGGGACUGAGACACGGCCCAGACUCCUACGGAGGCAGCAGUGGGGAAUUUUGGACAAUGGGGGCAACCCUGAUCCAGCCAUGCCGCGUGCGGGAAGAAGG